RNAcentral lists this ribosomal RNA (497 nucleotides) under uncultured bacterium. RNAcentral's name for it is "partial 16S ribosomal RNA". It matches the Rfam family "Bacterial small subunit ribosomal RNA", at positions 28 to 507 of the family's 1533-position model. The record is from RNAcentral.
GAUGAACGCUGGCGGCGUGCCUAAUACAUGCAAGUCGAGCGAACAGACGAGGAGCUUGCUCCUUUGACGUUAGCGGCGGACGGGUGAGUAACACGUAGGUAACCUACCUAUAAGACUGGGAUAACUUCGGGAAACCGGAGCUAAUACCGGAUAAUAUUUCGAACCGCAUGGUUCGAUAGUGAAAGAUGGCUUUGCUAUCACUUAUAGAUGGACCUGCGCCGUAUUAGCCAGUUGGUAAGGUAACGGCUUACCAAGGCAACGAUACGUAGCCGACCUGAGAGGGUGAUCGGCCACACUGGAACUGAGACACGGUCCAGACUCCUACGGGAGGCAGCAGUAGGGAAUCUUCCGCAAAGGGCGAAAGCCUGACGGAGCAACGCCGCGUGAGUGAUGAAGGUCUUCGGAUCGUAAAACUCUGUUAUUAGGGAAGAACAAACGUGUAAGUAACUGUGCACGUCUUGACGGUACCUAAUCAGAAAGCCACGGCUAACUACGUG